This 497-nucleotide ribosomal RNA is filed under the name uncultured bacterium. RNAcentral's name for it is "partial 16S ribosomal RNA". It matches the Rfam family "Bacterial small subunit ribosomal RNA", at positions 28 to 507 of the family's 1533-position model. The record is from RNAcentral.
GAUGAACGCUGGCGGCGUGCCUAAUACAUGCAAGUCGAGCGAACAGAUGAGGAGCUUGCUCCUCUGACGUUAGCGGCGGACGGGUGAGUAACACGUGGAUAACCUACCUAUAAGACUGGGAUAACUUCGGGAAACCGGAGCUAAUACCGGAUAAUAUAUUGCACCGCAUGGUUCAAUAGUGAAAGACGGUUUUGCUGUCACUUAUAGAUGGAUCCGCGCCGCAUUAGCUAGUUGGUAAGGUAACGGCUUACCAAGGCAACGAUGCGUAGCCGACCUGAGAGGGUGGUCGGCCACACUGGAACUGAGACAGGGUCCAGACUCCUGCGGGAGGCAGCAGUAGGGAAUCUUCCGCAAUGGGCGAAAGCUUGACGGAGCAACGCGGCGUGAGUGAUGAAGGUCUUCGGAUCGGAAAACUCUGUUAUUAGGGAAGAACAAAUGUGUAAGUAACUAUGCACGUCUUGACGGUACCUAAUCAGAAAGCCACGGCUAACUACGUG